GUUCCAAAAAUUAUUUUCUUGUGGUAUUCCUACUAAUUAAAGGGUCCUUUACAACUUGGUGUAAUUAUUUUGGAAGAAAGAACACUUGUUUCUUCAAGUUGACAACUUGGUCAAGUGAAGAAGAUUGUAGAAAAAGAUUUUGGCGAACUUGAAACUUGAUUUUGGAGACGUGUAUGAAUCGGAAAAGGUCAACAGGUAGACAGAUUUGACUCUUAGAAGCUCCAUCAGCAGUACUGUGGCAGCGCUCCAGUUGUUCCGGAGCCUCAGUUUCUUGGUACUACUUUUGUGUACAUAUUCGGGCACGGUAGAACCGGUCCUUCUUGUAUAUGUAGAUGUACUUUGUUUAGAGGCUCGUAGACAGAUAUGUACAGUCAGAUGUUUUGUACUUUUGUGGUCCUCGUCGUUGUAUAAUGUGCUAGCAAAGUUUAUAAGUCCAUGUCUACAAUUAUGCCAUUAAUGUUAGCGUUAAGCAACA
Long non-coding RNA from Lycium barbarum (goji berry), 475 nucleotides. RefSeq lists it as uncharacterized. The transcript is spliced from 3 exons. The record is from RefSeq and is a predicted model, not a curated record. NCBI's taxonomy places the organism in Eukaryota, Viridiplantae, Streptophyta, Magnoliopsida, Solanales, Solanaceae.